CAUCAUUAUCACCAUCGUUCUCCUCCACCACCAUCAUCAUCACCAUCAUCCUCCUCCACUAGCAUCACCACCAUCAUCAUCACCAUCAUCCGCAUCCGCUACCAUCACCACCAUCAUCAUCACCGUCAUCCUCCUCCACUACCAUCACCACCAUCAUCAUCAUCCUCAUCCACUAACAUCACCACCGUCAUUAGCAACAUCAUCUUCCUCCACUACCAACACCACCAUCAUCACCAUCAUCCGUCUCCACUAGCAUCACCGCCAUCAUCAUCAACAUCAUCCUACUCCACUAGAAUCACCAUCCCCAUCCACUACCAUCACCACUAUCAUUAUCAACAUCCUCCUUCACUACCAUCACCACCAUCAUCAUCACCAUCAUCCUCCUCCACUACCAUCACCACCAUCAUCAUCAUCCUCAUCCACUAACAUCACCACCAUCAUUAGCAACAUCAUCUUCCUCCACUGCCAUCACCACCAUCAUCAUCGUCAUCAUCCUCCACUACCAUCACCACCAUCAUCCUCCUCCACUACCAUCACCACCAUCAUCCUCAUCCUCAUCCACUAACAUCACCACCAUCAUUAGCAACAUCAUCUUCCUCCGCUGCCAUCACCACCACCAUCAUCAUCAUCAUUCUCCACUACCAUCACCACCAUCAUCCUUAUUCAGCAAUUCUUUAGUGUUCACAGAGUGCCA
RNAcentral lists this long non-coding RNA (694 nucleotides) under Homo sapiens (human). RNAcentral's name for it is "HSALNT0384359". The record is from RNAcentral. Lineage: Eukaryota; Metazoa; Chordata; Mammalia; Primates; Hominidae.